This 253-nucleotide ribosomal RNA is filed under the name uncultured bacterium. RNAcentral describes it as "partial 16S ribosomal RNA". It matches the Rfam family "Bacterial small subunit ribosomal RNA", at positions 524 to 776 of the family's 1533-position model. The record is from RNAcentral.
GACAGAGGUCCCAAGCGUUGUUCGGAUUUACUGGGCGUAAAGGGCGCGUAGGUGGUGCGGUAAGUCUGAUGUGAAAUCUCCGAGCUUAACUCGGAAAUGGCAUUGGAAACUACCUUGCUAGAGGGUUGGAGGGGGGACUGGAAUACUUGGUGUAGCAGUGAAAUGCGUAGAUAUCAAGUGGAACACCAGUGGCGAAGGCGAGUCCCUGGACAACUCCUGACACUGAGGCGCGAAAGCUAGGGGAGCAAACAGG